UACGUAGGCAGCGAGCGUUGUUCGGAAUUACUGGGCGUAAAGAGUGUGUAGGCGGUGCUCUAAGUCUGUCGUGAAAUCUCCCGGCUUAACUGGGAGGGUGCGGCGGAAACUGGUGUGCUUGAGGAUGGGAGAGGUAAGCGGAAUUCCUGGUGUAGCGGUGAAAUGCGUAGAUAUCAGGAGGAACACCUGUGGUGUAGACAGCUUACUGGAACAUUUCUGACGCUGAGACACGAAACCGUGGUUAGCAAACAGG
RNAcentral lists this ribosomal RNA (253 nucleotides) under uncultured bacterium. RNAcentral describes it as "partial 16S ribosomal RNA". It matches the Rfam family "Bacterial small subunit ribosomal RNA", at positions 524 to 776 of the family's 1533-position model. The record is from RNAcentral.